This 252-nucleotide ribosomal RNA is filed under the name uncultured bacterium. RNAcentral's name for it is "partial 16S ribosomal RNA". It matches the Rfam family "Bacterial small subunit ribosomal RNA", at positions 524 to 776 of the family's 1533-position model. The record is from RNAcentral.
UACGUAGGAUGCGAGCGUUAUCCGGAUUUAUUGGGUUUAAAGGGUGCGUAGGCGGGCUUUUAAGUCAGCGGUAAAAAUUCGGGGCUCUACCCCGUCCGGCCGUUGAAACUGGGGGUCUUGAGUGGGCGAGAAGAAGGCGGAAUGCGUGGUGUAGCGGUGAAAUGCAUAGAUAUCACGCAGAACCCCGAUUGCGAAGGCAGCCUUCCGGCGUCCUACUGACGCUGAGGCACGAAAGUGCGGGGAUCGAACAGG